ACAUACCUGCACACAUCCAGAACCAGCAGCAAACCUCUCCUAAGCAGCAGAUCUACACAAAGCAGCCAAGGUCCUUUAAUUGGACCUCAACAUUCAACUACAACCUCAAGUACACAGGCUAAUUCCUUAUUAGUGUUGAAAUCAGAAUAGUGCUAAUGACUUAAGCAGAACCACCUGUAUUGCCACUUAUUAAAAUUUUUAACAUUUUGAAGCCAAAGGGACCUAUAUGUAAGGUCUAGUCUCACCUCUUUCCUAACAGUGACAGCUGAAUUUCCCCUGAGAAACUCUCCUCCAGGAAUGAAAGAAUUCCAGCAUAAUUUGUUUGAAAAAAGCAAACAAACAAACAAAAACUCAAUGAAAAUGAAACUAUCCCAAGUCUGGUCAUCAGCCCCGGCCAAACACCACCUGCUCCUACACAGACCAUUCUUCUUCAAAAAGCCAACCUGGAGCUUUGAAAUGUGGCAGAAUUUGCUACGGACAGAUCGUCACAGCUGAUGAAAAUUAACACAACUUCGCCAAAAUCAGAGGGUCUUAAUCAGUUCUUCAGCUGAGGAACCAAUGCUUUAGGGAGAACAAUAAAGAAAAGGGGAAGGACUAACAUCUAUAAAGAAACACCUUGGAAAAAAAUGGAGGCUAUUUCAUUUCUUGCAUGGACACUACUUGAACAGAAAGAUGCACUCCCUCAAUGAGAUUGCAAAAAGCAAGUGAGAAUAUGGUUGAAUUGAUGAAGGGCAAAGAAGAUGAUCAAACUGCAGAAAACAAGGCAGCAGAGACAUAAAGAGGACUAUGCUUCACUGAGGAUUUCAUUGAAGACUGACAGAGUUUCAAAGCACUGACCACAGCUUCAGAUCUGAGAUUGAGAGAUGGUGAGGCAGAGCUCCUCCUAGAACACACUACUGUAAUUUUGAUGCUGCAAGAUACAUUGCACUCAGAACAUUACAUAUUCGGUAGUUUCAAUAAUUCAGAAUACUAC
Long non-coding RNA from Gallus gallus (chicken), 973 nucleotides. The record is from Ensembl. NCBI's taxonomy places the organism in Eukaryota, Metazoa, Chordata, Aves, Galliformes, Phasianidae.